CUUUUAUAUAAAUAGUGAAAGACUACUUAUCCUUCAAUACUGGACUCCCUUAUCUUCUCUCUGUCCUUUCUUGCUUUCUGUGAGAGGGAAAAUAGGACGCAAACUUUCAUACGAAGCCCUACCCUUGAUGGGCUAUUUAUGCCAAUCAUGCAAAGUUAGCCACAGAUUCUGAUGGAAUUGUUUGAAAAAUGACAAAUCCUACAGUUGGGUCCCUGCAGGUUCACGAGACCAAGAAAGUGGCCACAUAUUCUGUUCACACGGGAAGUAGACAGCAAACGAUGUUGGCGGCAUGAUAUGCGCCCCUCUGAACCCAGUUUCCGCGUGUAAGCAUCAUGGGAAACUGAUAUGCAUAGGAGGAUUUCGUAUGUAUUCAUGUGGUAACAGUUUUGCUUUCAUGUGAGGAUUAUACUUUGAGUUGGAUUUGUGGUCAAGUCUCUUGCAGUUGCAGAGGAGAGAGAAGAAUAACAGUCUUGGGAAAAAUGAUAAGUGGGCAAAACUUGGGGAAGUUCAUAGCAAGAUAUGUAUUAGAAUUUGAUUUUUCUUGAACAUUCAGUUUUGAUAUCAUCUCAUUUAUGGCCUAUGGUCAACAAGCGGUUGGUUGAUUGGUCUUGAUGCUACAUGAAAGGUCUUGCACCUGAAUAUAUAUGACUUUUGAUCUUCCCCGGUGGGAUGCGGUAAUAGUUAUCCUCUUUGUAUUUUUUUUUUCUUUUUCAAAUUGUAGCUUUAAGUUUUUAAAAUUUUUUUUAAAAUGGUGUUGCACCAUAUGUUCACUCACCUGUGACCCCAGGUGGCAAUUGUUUGUGUGUGUUGACAUGCUAUUUUGUGGUCGGCCUCAUUUACUUGUUUAUGCACACCCGUAUUUCCAGAUCUAAUUGUUUAUACAAGUUGAUGGAGAUGAAAAUAUCGAGGUUAUAAAAACUAGGCUGAUGAUUGAAGCCCGUAAGGCAAUGCUUGAAGAAUUAAUGGUUGGAUUGUGUAUAUUAUAAAUAUAUAUAUUAUAAAAACAAUGCUUAUCA
Long non-coding RNA from Neltuma alba, 1016 nucleotides. RefSeq lists it as uncharacterized. The transcript is spliced from 2 exons. NCBI's taxonomy places the organism in Eukaryota, Viridiplantae, Streptophyta, Magnoliopsida, Fabales, Fabaceae. The record is from RefSeq and is a predicted model, not a curated record.